RNAcentral lists this ribosomal RNA (403 nucleotides) under Papilio mahadeva. RNAcentral describes it as "partial 16S ribosomal RNA". Lineage: Eukaryota; Metazoa; Arthropoda; Insecta; Lepidoptera; Papilionidae. The record is from RNAcentral.
GGGCUGCAGUWUUUUGACUGUACAAAGGUAGCAUAAUCAAUAGUYUUUUAAUUGGUGACUUGUAUGAAAGAUUGGAUGAAAUAUAUACUGUCUYUAAAUAAUUUUUAGAAAUUAAUUUUUUAGUUAAAAAGCUAAAAUAAUUUUAAAAGACGAGAAGACCCUAUAGAGUUUAAUAAUUUAUUUUAUUGUUAUUAUUAUAUAAUUUUUAAAAUUAAAAUUAAAUAAAUUAUUUUGUUGGGGUGAUAAAAAAAUUAAAUUAACUUUUUUUAGUUUUUUACAUUGAUUUAUGAUUAUAUGAUCCAUUAAUAGUGAUAAAAAGAAAAAAUUACCUUAGGGAUAACAGCGUAAUUUUUUUUUUUAGUUCAAAUAGGAAAAAAAGUUUGCGACCUCGAUGUUGGAUUAA